RNAcentral lists this ribosomal RNA (761 nucleotides) under Phyllosticta cussoniae. Its description in RNAcentral is "eukaryotic LSU rRNA". It matches the Rfam family "Eukaryotic large subunit ribosomal RNA", at positions 87 to 866 of the family's 3401-position model. The record is from RNAcentral. Lineage: Eukaryota; Fungi; Ascomycota; Dothideomycetes; Botryosphaeriales; Phyllostictaceae.
CGGCGAGUGAAGCGGCAACAGCUCAAAUUUGAAAGCUGGCACCUUCGGUGUCCGCGUUGUAAUUUGUAGAGGAUGCUUCGGCGAGGACUCCUGCCUAAGUUCCCUGGAAUGGGACGUCACAGAGGGUGAGAAUCCCGUAUGUGGCGGGCGGUCCAAGCCAUGUGAAGCUCCUUCGACGAGUCGAGUUGUUUGGGAAUGCAGCUCUAAAUGGGAGGUAAAUUUCUUCUAAAGCUAAAUACCGGCCAGAGACCGAUAGCGCACAAGUAGAGUGAUCGAAAGAUGAAAAGCACUUUGGAAAGAGAGUUAAAAAGUACGUGAAAUUGUUGAAAGGGAAGCGCUUGCAACCAGACUCGCUCGCAGUUGCUCAGCCCGCCUCUUGGUGGGUGUACUCUUCUGCGAUCGGGCCAGCAUCAGUUCGGGCGGCUGGAUAAAGGCGUCGGGAAUGUAGCACCCUUCGGGGUGUGUUAUAGCCCGGCGCGGAAUGCAGCCAGCCUGGACUGAGGAUCUCGCUUCGGCAAGGAUGCUGGCGUAAUGGUUGUAAGCGGCCCGUCUUGAAACACGGACCAAGGAGUCUAACAUCUAUGCGAGUGUUUGGGUGUCAAACCCAUGCGCGUAAUGAAAGUGAACGGAGGUGGGAACCCGCAAGGGUGCACCAUCGACCGAUCCUGAUGUCUUCGGAUGGAUUUGAGUAAGAGCAUAGCUGUUGGGACCCGAAAGAUGGUGAACUAUGCCUGAAUAGGGUGAAGCCAGAGGAAACUCUG